Molecule: long non-coding RNA, 922 nt
Organism: Ruditapes philippinarum (Manila clam)
Lineage: Eukaryota; Metazoa; Mollusca; Bivalvia; Venerida; Veneridae
Exons: 4
Source: RefSeq, a predicted model, not a curated record
AGCAGGCACUCGACGUUGUUUCAACGUUGAAACAACGUUGAAAUAUGGUCGUGACGUUGUUCAACCAAUAUUCAACUAUGGACGACCAUACGGAUAUAUAGCCAAUGUAUAUACAACGUUGAUUCAACGUUGUUUAUGGUCGAAGUUUUACAUUUAGUUUAAUCAUUAUAUAAACUUUUAUACCACUAAUUUUGUGUUAUUAUUCCUUUUUUUUUUUUAUUGAAUUAGUCUGUAAGUGUUUUUUGUCAGGAAAAUUUGCGUUACAAUCUUUUUCCGUAUAUAUUCAAAAUUAGCGCUGAAACAAAUAAAGUUGGAAAUAAUUUUUCACUUUCUAAUAACGCUUUAAAUAUUAGUUAAUAUGUUUUGUUGUUUGUUGUUUUAUUUUUUAGUUCUUUAUGAAUAAUAUUAAUUAAUAAAUUGAUAUUAGUCAAAACCCUGUUUAUAAAAUAACGCUGGUCAGGGGAAGUAAUUGUUGCGGUCUAUGAUUUUGUUUGUUGUCUAUGAUUAUCGUUCGUGCAAAUGGUGGCGCUGUUUGGAAAAUUUGAAAACAACACGAUUGGCAAUUUAUUUGGAUUUCGGAGAUCCUGGUCCUGGUUGAAAUUUAGAGUAUUGCAGCUGUAGCCUGUAUACCAUACAUUCAGCAUGAAAAGGACUGUCAGGAUGCUGCAUAAAAUGGUCUUAGCUAGAGCCUAUACUGUUAAUUUCUUGGGAAUAUGCUGCAAGGAACUGACAGGGAGCAGUUUUUCUUACCAAUCAUAGAAGCAGUAAGAGACAGCCAAAGAAGUACUCAAACACUUGACAUACCCAGAAAGAUCUAGAAGAAAAGAUUGGAACAGAUUGUAGUUUAAUUGUUAAAACUAUUAAAGUGAAUUUAAGCUGCACUUGAACUGUAUUUUUGAAAUAAAAUAUCUGAAGUAUUUAA